AAUAUUUCGCAAUGGGCGAAAGCUUGAAACAGCGACGCCGCGUGGGGGAAGAAGGCCUACGGGUCGAAGCCCCUUUCAUAGGGACGAAAUUGAUUGUACUGCAGAAGAAGCGCCGGCCAAUUACGUGCCAGCAGCCGCGGUAAUACGUAGGGCGCAAGCGUUGUCCGGAUUCAUUGGGCGUAAAGGGCUCGUAGGCGGUUUGGUAAGUCGGGUGUGAAAACUCAGGGCUCAACUUUGAGACGCCACUCGAUAUUGCCAUGAUUAGAGUCCGGUAGGGGAGUGUAGAAUUCCUGGUGUAGCGGUGAAAUGCGCAGAUAUCAGGAGGAAUACCGAUAGCGAAGGCAGCACUCUGGGCCGGUCCUGACGCUGAGGAGCGAAAGCGUGGGGAGCAAACAGGAUUAGAUACCCUGGUAGUCCACCCCGUA
Molecule: ribosomal RNA, 425 nt
Filed under: uncultured marine bacterium
Lineage: Bacteria
Description: bacterial SSU rRNA
Rfam family: Bacterial small subunit ribosomal RNA
Source: RNAcentral